GGACCGCCUCAGGGCGGUCCGGUGCACGCUCCGGUACCUGACACGGCCGGGGUUC
RNAcentral lists this non-coding RNA (55 nucleotides) under unclassified sequences. Its description in RNAcentral is "L17-Actino-Proteobacteria ribosomal protein leader". It matches the Rfam family "L17-Actino-Proteobacteria ribosomal protein leader". The record is from RNAcentral.